Molecule: ribosomal RNA, 433 nt
Filed under: uncultured bacterium
Lineage: Bacteria
Description: partial 16S ribosomal RNA
Rfam family: Bacterial small subunit ribosomal RNA
Source: RNAcentral
AACGAACGCUGGCGGCAUGCCUAACACAUGCAAGUCGAACGAGACCUUCGGGUCUAGUGGCGCACGGGUGCGUAACGCGUGGGAACCUGCCCUUAGGUUCGGAAUAACUCCCCGAAAGGGGUGCUAAUACCGGAUAAUGUCUUCGGACCAAAGAUUUAUCGCCUUUGGAUGGGCCCGCGUUGGAUUAGCUAGUUGGUAGGGUAAAAGCCUACCAAGGCGACGAUCCAUAGCUGGUCUGAGAGGAUGAUCAGCCACACUGGGACUGAGACACGGCCCAGACUCCUCCGGGAGGCGGGAGUGGGGAAAGGGGAAAAGGGGCGGAAGGCUUGAAACAGCAUGGCGCGGGGAGUUAUGAAGGCAUGGGGGUGGAAAGGUUUUUUUAACGGGGAAGAUAAUGACAGUACCGAAAAAAAAAGCCCCGGCUAACUCCGUG